This 253-nucleotide ribosomal RNA is filed under the name uncultured bacterium. RNAcentral's name for it is "partial 16S ribosomal RNA". It matches the Rfam family "Bacterial small subunit ribosomal RNA", at positions 524 to 776 of the family's 1533-position model. The record is from RNAcentral.
UACGGAGGGAGCUAGCGUUGUUCGGAAGUACUGGGCGUAAAGCGCACGUAGGCGGCGCCGCAAGUCAGGGGUGAAAUCCCGGGGCUCAACCCCGGAACUGCCUCUGAAACUGCAGUGCUAGAAUCUUGGAGAGGUCAGUGGAAUUCCGAGUGUAGAGGUGAAAUUCGUAGAUAUUCGGAAGAACACCAGUGGCGAAGGCGACUGACUGGACAAGUAUUGACGCUGAGGUGCGAAAGCGUGGGGAGCAAACAGG